Molecule: ribosomal RNA, 285 nt
Filed under: Actinomycetes bacterium
Lineage: Bacteria; Bacillati; Actinomycetota; Actinomycetes
Description: Actinobacteria bacterium partial 16S ribosomal RNA
Rfam family: Bacterial small subunit ribosomal RNA
Source: RNAcentral
GGAUGAGCCCGCGGCCUAUCAGCUUGUUGGUGAGGUAACGGCUCACCAAGGCGACGACGGGUAGCCGGCCUGAGAGGGCGACCGGCCACACUGGGACUGAGACACGGCCCAGACUCCUACGGGAGGCAGCAGUGGGGAAUAUUGCACAAUGGGCGCAAGCCUGAUGCAGCGACGCCGCGUGAGGGAUGACGGCCUUCGGGUUGUAAACCUCUUUCAGCAGGGAAGAAGCGCAAGUGACGGUACCUGCAGAAGAAGCGCCGGCUAACUACGUGCCAGCAGCCGCGG